UCGCAUGGUGGUUGGUGGAAAGCUUUUGUGGUUUUGGAUGGACUCGCGGCCUAUCAGCUUGUUGGUGGGGUAAUGGCCUACCAAGGCGACGACGGGUAGCCGGCCUGAGAGGGUGACCGGCCACACUGGGACUGAGACACGGCCCAGACUCCUACGGGAGGCAGCAGUGGGGAAUAUUGCACAAUGGGCGGAAGCCUGAUGCAGCGACUCCGCGUGAGGGAUGACGGCCUUCGGGUUGUAAACCUCUUUCAGUAGGGAAGAACCGUAAGUGACGGUACCUGCAGAAGAAGCGCC
This 294-nucleotide ribosomal RNA is filed under the name Arthrobacter sp. PF-83. RNAcentral describes it as "partial 16S ribosomal RNA". It matches the Rfam family "Bacterial small subunit ribosomal RNA", at positions 186 to 494 of the family's 1533-position model. Lineage: Bacteria; Bacillati; Actinomycetota; Actinomycetes; Micrococcales; Micrococcaceae. The record is from RNAcentral.